Molecule: long non-coding RNA, 598 nt
Filed under: Mastacembelus armatus (zig-zag eel)
Lineage: Eukaryota; Metazoa; Chordata; Actinopteri; Synbranchiformes; Mastacembelidae
Description: lncRNA (ENSMAMG00000025243.1)
Source: RNAcentral
CCAGUGAACCAAGGCAGGUACAGGAUCUGGGUACUUCCUGCAGUGCUUCUCACCUCCACCACCCUUAACACCUGCAGACCAGGUGUUUCCUCCUCACCUGCUCUGAGGAAACAGCAGCUCCACCCUGAGCGAUUCAAUCAGAGAUGCUGAGAUGACCAGACUCACAUUAAAGCAGCAGCUCUGGAUUCUCACCUGAUGGUUUGCAGGGAGGUGUGAGGGCCCGCCCCUCUGCAGUCAAAGCAGAGCCUCAUCUGCUCCAUCACAACAGCAGCAGAACCUCAGAGCGGGUCAGCUGCCCCUGGAGGGACCAGAGGCUCAUGGGAAAUAUCUGUGCCACAAAUAGUUUCAGAAAUACAUGAAAGAGGAAACUAUGGAAAAACAUUAUGUGUAAAUGAGAAAUGGGACAUUUGACUUUCCAGAUCAAGUCAAAACUUGGAGCAUCAUUAUAAAUGUAAAAGUUAAAACCCCGACUUCCUAACCCAAACUUUAACGAUUAAUGAAAACAUUGUGAUUUAGGGUUGGAGGUUUCAUCACCUCAUGUAGUCCUGAUCAGACACACAGCCUUUAACGAUGUGCAAUACAGCAAAAUUAAUACGAC